GACGAACGCUGGCGGCGUGCUUAACACAUGCAAGUCGAACGGAAAGGCCCUGCUUUUGUGGGGUGCUCGAGUGGCGAACGGGUGAGUAACACGUGAGUAACCUGCCCUUGACUUUGGGAUAACUUCAGGAAACUGGGGCUAAUACCGGAUAGGAGCUCCUGCUGCAUGGUGGGGGUUGGAAAGUUUCGGCGGUUGGGGAUGGACUCGCGGCUUAUCAGCUUGUUGGUGGGGUAGUGGCUUACCAAGGCUUUGACGGGUAGCCGGCCUGAGAGGGUGACCGGGCACAAUGGGACUGAGAUACGACCCAUACUCCUACGGGGGGCAGCAGUGGGGAAUAUUGCACACUGGGCGGAAGCCGGAUGCAGCAACGCCGCGUGCGGGAUGACGGCCUUCGGGUUGUAAACCGCUUUCGCCUGUGACGAAGCGUGAGUGACGGUAAUGGGUAAAGAAGCACCGGCUAACUACGUG
This 468-nucleotide ribosomal RNA is filed under the name uncultured bacterium. RNAcentral's name for it is "partial 16S ribosomal RNA". It matches the Rfam family "Bacterial small subunit ribosomal RNA", at positions 28 to 507 of the family's 1533-position model. The record is from RNAcentral.